UUAGCCUAUAGUGAGGGUCCUGAAGGGGGAGGGGAGGGUCCCAAUCCCAUUUUCCACCUGAAAUUUUGGCGAAAUCCCAGUCCCAGUUGGAUUUUUAUUAGAAAUCCCAGUCCGAGUUAUUGAAACCCCAGUCAAUAAAAACCCCUUUAUUUAUCGGUAGAAUAAACAGUUUUAAGACCUUUUAAGCCACCGUGUGUGCAAGUGGCGGACAUUUUAUGAAAUAUUGGGCGGGAGGCUCGUGCCGAAGGAACGGAAAAUUUUUAAAUUUGAAUCCCGGAAAUGGCAUUUGCAUCAUUCUGAGACACGCAUAAUCAGAAAACCCCAAAUUCCUGUCGGCAUCCAUUUUGCGGCCCUCGAAAAGUCAAAAUCUCGGCAUUUCUUAAAAUCUGUUCCACGUCUUGGAGCACUAUUAAUCACGCAUUUAAUUUACGAAUCAUUGAAAUCGGAAUAUAACUGGAACGUUACCUGCAGCCGGAAAAUUCGAAAGUUGGAGCCAAAUUUUAACUCCAGACGGGCGAAAUUUGAUCUUCAAACAUCUAACGUAUAUACACAAAACACAAUACCCGUCAGUUUUUAAACCUUACACCGUAAUAAAAUUUGCAUUGCUGCAUGUGUGGCUUCUUUGAUGCAUGCUAUUCGUGAUAUUCGCUUUGAAUUCAAUUAUUCAGGAGGUCAAUUUUGGUUUCUUCAGUGGUUAUCUUUAGCCAAUCCAGUUUUGCCGACUGAGAUAACAAUUUGCCGAUUAGCUGACGAGUGGGGGGGUGUUCCACCCCCCCACCCCCCCCUGUAGCGCCGCCCCUGCUUUUUUCAAACUGAAAUAUAUGUGCUUAGUUUUCUCUGAAGUAGUCGCAUAAAUCAUUGAGAUUAGGGCUACAUUUUAUUAAACUCGCGAUGCGACUACAAUGACAAUGUCAAUGUAAUUAGUGACGUGUUUGAUAGUUUGUAUAAACAAACUUCCGAAUACACAGAAAUUAUAAAGUAAUAUCAAACCUGAUGUAUAGAACAUACGCUGAAUUUACUUUGUUAUAUGCACAAUAACUGCAUGUAAGCGACUUGCUCUUUUAAGAAACCAAUUUGCUAAUAAUCAUUCUUUUUUCAAAAUCAUGCGGAUCUUUAUUUAUCAUUUAAAUAAUAUACCCUUAAAAUACUGACAAUAGAUUAAUUUUAAGUAGCUACAUUAUCCAUGACAAACUGCAAAAAAUGAAGAUAUUACCCAUACUUUUCUGCAACUUAUCCAACAUAUCAGACUUGUAAACACGAUGGCAUACCCUAUAGGGAGUAUCGUUAAGUUGAAGUUCUGAGCAAUUUCAGAACUCUGUAUGUCGCCGCCAUGCCAUUAAGUUGGGGCCAUGGUCCCGCUUCCCCGGGUCCUGAAAUUUAAUGAAGUGUGACGUGCGUAUUUUGAGCAAUGUAAAUUAGUCGCACUUCAUGAUAUAACAAAAUUGCUCGUUACAAAUUGUAUGAAAUUCCAUGUCUUAUUAUUCCAUGAAAUUCCAUGUCUAUUAAUCGUCUUCUUUCACUACAUAACUUCAGGCGCAUUCCUAAUUUCGUUUAAAAAAUAUUUAAAGUUAUCUAACUUUUGUUUAGGGCUGAAACACGUAUUUCAAUUGCUCGAUCAAAAUACGUUACACUUCAUUGAAUCCCGGGUAAGCGGGACCAUAUAAACUGCCCUUAUAAUCAAAUUUCUCAUGAGAGCGAAACGCAGUGCCGUAGCUAGCUCGAUAAUUGGGGGGGGGGCAGAUAUUCAUAUAUUCGUGUUCUGCGUUAUUAAUUUCUUUUGAAAUCGAUUGUUUUUAUGGUCUGUGAACACGAAUAUAUGAAUAUCUGCCCCCCCCAAUUAUCGAGCUAGCUACGGCACUGGCGAAAUGCAAAUUUUGUAUCAUCGCCUCUGAUCAUCGCCCAUGUUUGUAUAUUUUAAAUUCCGAUGUAUAUUAAAAUACGUAUACUUUCAAACAUCAUACCUCGCAUCAGACUUAUAGUUCUUCAGCGAAACUUUCAGUAUACAUAUAGAUUAUAGCCGUAGGCGAAAUUUUUUAGUUUUGAGAGCAAAACUAAUUGUUUUGCCGCUUUUGGGAGCUUUCAAAAUGGUUGUAAAACUUUUGAAAUGGAUAAAAAUUUACUAUUUUCGACCCUCGACCCUCGUUAUAAACGUCAAUUGCAUUUAGGUAAUGAGUUCCACAGUUUAACUCCAUCACAACAGAAGCUUUUCUUAAGGUCGAGAAAUAAGCGAGAUUUAAAAAAAGCUUUUAAAUGUAUUCCACGUCAUUUUAAAAGUUCUUUCAGAUAAGGGAAUCUAAUUUCUAUAUUCAUGCUACUUCCGAUCAUAUCCCUCCUCAACAGGGCCGUUCCUAGACGCGAUAAUGCGGGGGGUAUUCAUAUAUUCAUGCUCGCUACCGUAAAAACAAUCGCUUUCAAAAGAAAUUCGUCGGGCAGAAGACGAAUAUAUGAACGUACACCCCCCAAUUAUCACGCUAGGAACGGCCCUGUCCCUUUAAUUAAACGACUGACCUUGCCCGGCUUCAAUGAAAAUAAGGCCGAAGUUUGACGCUUAAACUGAACUGCUUAGAGCACAACAUGCUCAAAUAUAAGUAAUUGACUGUUUAUAGUAAGUAUAUAUAGCCUUGAAUCUAGCGAGUGUACAAGUGUUUCUAGUUUAUUUUAAUUGGCGCGCAUGGAUCGAUCAAUUGAAACAAGAAUUUCAAGCAGAAAUCUUAGUCUUGGAGACUUUAACAGCGUAUUUUUAUCUAGAAAUAGGCAAACUAGUUUAAAAUUAUCUACGUCUUACAUUUCCUAUCAAUAACAAGAGAAAACUAGCAAGAAUGAUUAAAGUUCGACUGUCUAUAGUUGAAGCAAAGUGCCUAAUUGUCUGAGGAUUUUUAAGGGUUUUUUUGUGAUUUUCUCGAUAUUAUAGUCAGUAUAAUUCCGCGGUAACAAAAAGCCCCAAAAUAAUAUUUACAUCAGGUUUUAGAGCAACAGUUUGUCUUUAAAUUCCGUAAAUUGGAGUUUUCCCGGAUACCGAAAAUUAAUUUUCAAAAAGUGUAACAAUUUAGAAUUUUUUGGAUCGCAAAAAAAGACGAUUUUUACACGCUUGUCUUGACAUCGAAAAAUCAUUUCAAAAAUUGCAAAUUGGACCCACGGUCUUUAUAAACAUCUUAUAAACACGUUUAAAAACGAAAGGUGAGGUUUCAUCACACGCCAAUUGAGAAAAACGAAAUUUUCGAGAGACCGUAGCUCACAAUUUUUUUUGCUAAUUUCGCGAAUCUCGGGUAUGUGUGAGGUUUUGAUAAUUUUCGGCGUUUAAAAUAAUAUUUCAGAAAACAAACCCCACCACGUUUCUGAGUACACAUUAGAGUAUCACUGGAAAAAAUAAGAAGAUUUUUUAUUUUUCCUCAUGUGCCACGUAUUCUCGAUUUUGCUCGGUUUUAGUGGACAUUGUCUCUUAAAUGAUGAAAAGCUACUGAAGCUCAACGACAAAGAAAAACGAACUAUUAAAAAUAACGACGAAAGGCUGAAGGAAGACGAGAACUUUGAAAAGGAACGAUUUCAAUAUUAACAUUAUAGUGACACCAAUUAAAAAUGUUGUAACGAUUCACUACCUAAAUAAAGCCUCGUAGUUAUUGUUUCAUAUUUAAUUAUUUUCCCCCUGUAAAUAAUAAUAAUGUUAAUGGUAUAAAUUGGGUUGAAUUUCAGUUCGAUCAAAUGGACCAUUUGCAUUACAGACUAAGUUUUGCUCUAAACAAGCCUAGACAAAAAUUGCAUCACAGCUUGAAAGAGCAUCACAAAAUUAUAAAUAUUCCAAAGUUUCGAAGCGAAAUGUUGUAAAAUGCGGAUAAUAUAGCCUUGCAAAGUUUGCCGUUUUUCGAUCAUUUUGCAUUACGCGGGGGAAAUUGACAGCCCAAUACCCUUUGGCCGUUUGGGGCUGUCAAUUUCCCGUUUGUAAUGCAAAUUGACUGAAAAACGGCAAACAUCGCAAGGCUAUAUUAUCAUGUAUAUUAUACGUAUUUUACAACAUUUCGCAACGGAACAUUGGAAUAGUACUAAUUUUGUGAUGCUCUUUCAAGCUGUGAUGACAUUUUUGUUUUUACACCCCCCACCCUCCCUCUUUUACUAUAGAUGUAUCGUUAUACCAAAAUUGGACGCCCUCUUUCAGUUUAGAUCAAAAUUUAGUCUACAAUGCAAAUGGUCCAUUAUUGAUGUAUACUUCUUUCUUUUUUUGUAAAUACACAGGAAAUUUUUCAACGCAAUACAAAACGAUAUAUCUUGAUCUUACUGAAAUCAGACUCUAAAAUGCAGUUGGGGGGGGGGGGGGUCAAGGGGCCCCGCUCCAAUAAUAUGCCACGGGCCCCGCGGAACGUUGAUCCGGCCCUGGUGUGCAUGUAUAUACUAAGGUGAUCCCAUUGUAAGGUGUAGGGGUAAAUAUAAACUAGAAGUCAUGCACUUCUCCAGCAAAUCAGUGAAGGCUUCUAAUUGGUGAUGUGUAAUAGGCUACUACAUUCAUGCAGGUGGAAGCCAGAGCUAGGUGUAUACAAUAUGCAGUAUACAUUGCACGUUAUAGUAUACAUAUAAUGCAUAUUAUUAAAAAUGUAUAAAAUGUAAUAAAACGUUUUCUCCG
Molecule: non-coding RNA, 4612 nt
Organism: Paramuricea clavata
Lineage: Eukaryota; Metazoa; Cnidaria; Anthozoa; Malacalcyonacea; Plexauridae
Source: the annotation of a GenBank genome assembly